AACGCACCUUGCGCCCUUUGGUUAUUCCGAAGGGCAUGCCUGUUUGAGUAUCAUGAAAACCUCAACUCUCAUGGUUUGCCGUGAUGAGCUUGGACUUUGGGGGUCUUGCUGGCCUAUGGUCGGCUCCUCUCAAACGAAUCAGCUUGCCAGUGUUUGGUGGCAUCACAGGUGUGAUAACUAUCUACGCUUGUGGUUUCUCACCAGGUAACCUUCAGCGAUGGAGGUUCGCUGGAGCUCACAAAUGUCCCUCCUCAGCGAGGACCUUUGAACGUUUGAUCUCAAAUCAGGUAGGACUACCCGCUGAACUUAA
Molecule: ribosomal RNA, 310 nt
Filed under: uncultured fungus
Lineage: Eukaryota; Fungi
Description: eukaryotic LSU rRNA
Source: RNAcentral